GUGCCAAGCAGCCGCGGUAAUUCCAGCUCCAAUAGCGUAUAUUAAAGUUGUUGCAGUUAAAUCGUUCGUAACUUCUGGUUCUCGUUUACAUUACUUCCACGUCGGGAACGGGAACGCGUCCUCUUCCUCUUGAUAACUAUUUGCACCUUCACUGGCUGUGGAUAGGUAUCAAGAACUUUACUUUGAAAAAAUUAGAGUGUUUCAGGCAGGCGAUUGCCCGAAUACAUUAGCAUGGAAUAAUGGAAUAGGACUUCUUCCAUUUUGUUGGUUAUUGGUUGAAGUAAUGAUUAAUAGGGACAGGUGGGGGCAUUAAUAUUUAAUUGUCAGAGGUGAAAUUCUUGGAUUUAUUAAAGACUAACUAAUGCGAAAGCAUUUGCCAAGGAUGUUUUCAUUGAUCAAAAACGAAAGUUAGGGGAUCAAAAACAAUCAAAUACCGUCGUAGUCUUAACUAUAAACUAUACCGACUAGGGAUUGGAAGGGUUUCGAAACCCCUUUUCACACCCUAUUGAGAAAUCAAAGCCUUUGGGUUCUGGGGGGAGUAUGGUCGCAAGGCUGAAACUAAAAGGGAAUUGAACGAAAGGCCCCCCCAGGAAGGGGAGCUGCGCGCUUUUAUUUGACUCUCACACGCGGGAAACUCAUCCCGGCACGACACAUAUAUGAGAUACACAGAUAGAGAUCUUUUUUGUUGAUUCUAUGGAGUAGUGCAUGGUGCGUCGUUCUUAGGUGGAGGGGAUUUUUUCGUCUUGAAUUCCUCUAACGACCGAACAACCACCUCCUCCUGACUAACUAGCUGUGGUGAUUAUCGCCCGCUGACUGACUUACAAGGAACUAAGUGUGGCGAACCACAAUGGCAAGGUCCUGGACGGCGAAUAAACAAAAGUCCUUGUGCAUGUGCCAGGACGCGGACGGGAUUUCACAUUCCACAACCUAGCGCCUGGCCGGGUCACGUAUAACUGGAGAUGCGCGAUACCCUACGGCUCACGCUAACCCAAUGCGCUCGGCAAUAACUC
RNAcentral lists this ribosomal RNA (1010 nucleotides) under uncultured eukaryote. Its description in RNAcentral is "bacterial SSU rRNA". It matches the Rfam family "Eukaryotic small subunit ribosomal RNA", at positions 564 to 1385 of the family's 1831-position model. The record is from RNAcentral. RNAcentral also lists the same sequence under 1 other name.